CUGGGCCACCACUGACGCUGAGAAGCGAAAGCGUGGGGAGCGAACAGGAUUAGAUACCCUGGUAGUCCACGCCGUAAACGUUGGGCGCUAGGUGUGGGACUCAUUUCACGAGUUCUGUGCCGCAGCUAACGCAUUAAGCGCCCCNCCUGGGGAGUACGGCCUCAAGGCUAAAACUCAAAGGAAUUGACGGGGGCCCGCACAAGCGGCGGAGCAUGUGGAUUAAUUCGAUGCAACGCGAAGAACCUUACCAAGGCUGACAUAUACCGG
Molecule: ribosomal RNA, 267 nt
Filed under: uncultured Actinomycetes bacterium
Lineage: Bacteria; Bacillati; Actinomycetota; Actinomycetes
Description: uncultured actinobacterium partial 16S rRNA
Rfam family: Bacterial small subunit ribosomal RNA
Source: RNAcentral